CAGUAGCAGACUACAAGGAUCCCCUAGUAACUGCGAGUGAAGCGGGAAAAGCUCAAAUUUAAAAUCUGGCGGUCUCUGGCCGUCCGAGUUGUAAUCUAGAGAAGUGAUGCCCGCGCUGGACCGUGUACAAGUCUCCUGGAAUGGAGCGUCAUAGAGGGUGAGAAUCCCGUCUCUGACACGGACUACCAGGGCUUUGUGGUAUCCUCUCAAAGAGUCGAGUUGUUUGGGAAUGCAGCUCUAAAUGGGUGGUAAAUUCCAUCUAAAGCUAAAUAUUGGCGAGAGACCGAUAGCGAACAAGUACCGUGAGGGAAAGAUGAAAAGAACUUUGGAAAGAGAGUUAAACAGUACGUGAAAUUGCUGAAAGGGAAACGCUUGAAGUCAGUCGCGUUGGCCAGGAAUCAGCUUCGCUCUUGCGUGGUGUACUUUCUGGUUGACGGGUCAGCAUCAAUUUUGACUGCUGGAAAAAGGCUUAGGGAAUGUGGCAGCUUCGGCUGUGUUAUAGCCCUUUGUCACAUACAGCGGUUGGGAUUGAGGAACUCAGCACGCCGCAAGGCCGGGUUUCGACCACGUUCGUGCUUAGGAUGCUGGCAUAAUGGCUUUAAGCGACCCGUCUUGAAACACGGACCAAGGAGUCUAACAUGCCUGCGAGUGUUUGGGUGGUAAACCCGAGCGCGUAAUGAAAGUGAAAGUUGAGAUCCCUGUCGUGGGGAGCAUCGACGCCCGGACCUGAACUUUUGUGACGGAUCCGCGGUAGAGCAUGUAUGUUGGGACCCGAAAGAUGGUGAACUAUGCCUGAAUAGGGUGAAGCCAGAGGAAACUCUGGUGGAGGCUCGUAGCGAUUCUGACGUGCAAAUCGAUCGUCAAAUUUGGGUAUAGGGGCGAAAGACUAAUCGAACCAUCUAGUAGCUGGUUCCUGCGGU
This 920-nucleotide ribosomal RNA is filed under the name Lycoperdon echinatum. Its description in RNAcentral is "partial large subunit ribosomal RNA". It matches the Rfam family "Eukaryotic large subunit ribosomal RNA", at positions 53 to 964 of the family's 3401-position model. The record is from RNAcentral. Lineage: Eukaryota; Fungi; Basidiomycota; Agaricomycetes; Agaricales; Lycoperdaceae.